RNAcentral lists this ribosomal RNA (517 nucleotides) under uncultured microorganism. RNAcentral describes it as "bacterial SSU rRNA". It matches the Rfam family "Bacterial small subunit ribosomal RNA", at positions 9 to 524 of the family's 1533-position model. The record is from RNAcentral.
GAGUUUGAUCCUGGCUCAGGAUGAACGCUGGCGGCGUGCUUAACACAUGCAAGUCGAACGAAGCGCCUUAUUUGAUUUUCUUCGGAACUGAAGAUUUGGUGACUGAGUGGCGGACGGGUGAGUAACGCGUGGGUAACCUGCCCUGUACAGGGGGAUAACAAUCAGAAAUGACUGCUAAUACCGCAUAAGACCACAGCACCGCAUGGUGCAGGGGUAAAAACUCCGGUGGUACAGGAUGGACCCGCGUCUGAUUAGCUGGUUGGUGAGGUAACGGCUCACCAAGGCGACGAUCAGUAGCCGGCUUGAGAGAGUGAACGGCCACAUUGGGACUGGGACACGGCCCAAACUCCUACGGGAGGCAGCAGUGGGGAAUAUUGCACAAUGGGGGAAACCCUGAUGCAGCAACGCCGCGUGAGUGAAGAAGUAUUUCGGUAUGUAAAGCUCUAUCAGCAGGGAAGAAAGUGACGGUACCUGACUAAGAAGCCCCGGCUAACUACGUGCCAGCCGCCGCUGUAAU